RNAcentral lists this long non-coding RNA (323 nucleotides) under Drosophila guanche. Lineage: Eukaryota; Metazoa; Arthropoda; Insecta; Diptera; Drosophilidae. The record is from RNAcentral.
GUUCGCUUCUCUGUGAUUUUUCUGGUGUUUUGUGACCUUAUCUCUGGGCCAAGAAUUUGUCUCUUUUGUGUCUGAAUUUUGCUGGGAAUUUAUUGGUACAAAGAAGUCGCGUGUUGGGCUCAUCAAUCUCCAGCCAGAGAUCGGGGAAUUCGGGACACGACUGGCAGGAAAGGAAUGGAAGCCCAGUCGCCUGAGCUACAACAUUUUUCACGCUUCUCUCUUUUGGCCAAAAAGCAGAAGAGUCUAACAAAUUAAUUAUUGUAUGUGGAUUAAGCUGGGAUGAGGAUUUAAAUAUCUGUCUGCCUUUGGUAUGCGCUCUCCUC